This 494-nucleotide ribosomal RNA is filed under the name uncultured bacterium. RNAcentral's name for it is "bacterial SSU rRNA". It matches the Rfam family "Bacterial small subunit ribosomal RNA", at positions 28 to 507 of the family's 1533-position model. The record is from RNAcentral.
GACGAACGCUGGCGGCGUGGAUUAGGCAUGCAAGUCGGACGGUAGGGCUUUAUCGUAAGAUAGAGUUUGAGAGUGGCGAACGGGUGAGUAACACGUAGGAAUCUACCCUUAAGACGGGGACAACCCAGGGAAACUUGGGCUAAUACCGGAUGAGAGUGCGAGAGAUUGCAUUUAAAAGGAUGGCGAAAGUUAUCGCUUAGGGAUGAGCCUGCGGUCUAUUAGUUAGUUGGUGGGGUAAGAGCUCACCAAGGCGAUGAUAGAUAGGCGGCCUUAACGGGUGGUCGCCCACACUGGGGUUGAGAUACGGCCCAGACUCCUACGGGAGGCAGCAGUCGAGAAUAGUCUACAAUGGCCGGAAGGCUGAUAGUGCGACGCCGCGUGAACGAGGGAGCCCUUCGGGGUGUAAAGUUCUUUUCUAUACGAGCAGUGCUAUAUAUAUGGAUAGUAUAUAUAGAGGGAUAGUAGUAUAGGAAUAAGCAACGGCUAACUCCGUG